GUGGAGUUUCCUAGGGAGCUGCAAGACAAAUCAAAUACUUCUCUGAAGACGAGGCUCUUUGGGAGCUUCAAAUCCAGGGCACGCCUCUAGUGGCUGCCAGACUGCUGGCUUUCACAGCUACCAGGGUUUUAAAGCUACUUAUUUUCAAUGCUACCACAGGACUGGGACUUGGGGAAUGGAAAUAUGAUCCCGUAGGCCCAUACUUGCACCAACUUAUGUCUGGUGCAACAAUGACACCAACGAUGUCUCCUGCUUACAACAACAAAAAUUUCUUUCUCAUCAUGCUGCAUGUCCAUCAAAGGUCGUCUUCUCUCGAGGCAGUCUCUAACUGGAAUGUUGGCACCGGUUGCAUUUCAUUGGGUAAAGCUAUACAUUUGUCAGGUCUCCAGGACUUUGAUUAACAGUGGGAGUAACAGAGCAAUCACUGUCUUAGUAACAACUUCAAAGGGAAGAUGCAUCAAGUUGAGGAAGACAUUGAUACAGGCUUUCUUCAGAGUCCUUAUCAAAAUGUGUCAACAGGCCACGACUUUGGCCUGGGUGUGUCAUUUGCUGUCCUGUUGCUGCAGUGGAGCAGGAAGAGCAAAGCUUCACACUCAGGGGCUGUAGGAUGCUAUCCAGCCUGAGGCUAUAAGGAUAUAAGCUUGGCCAUCUCUCCCACCACAGAAAGUCUGUCUUGAGAAUGGAACCUACAUACAGAAGGAAGAAAAGCCGAAAGAUGGAGAUGGAUGAGGCAGACAACAACAAAGAAAACUCCAAUAUGUCAUUUGUGUCACUGAAUUUUGAUAUGAAGAAUCAAGCUGGUUCCAGAUAUGGGAGGUAGUAGGACACAUGCGGAGCCAAUCAGAGCCCUUACAUGGGACUUUGGGGAUUCAGAGAGAGCAGCAUCUGCUGGUGGUAGAAGCUUGAAAACAUGAAAUUCACAAGCUGUCAGUGGCCAUGUCAAUUUCCAUUCAGGAGAGACCCGCCUAUAGCUGGAGAAAAUGGAGUUAACUCAGGG
RNAcentral lists this long non-coding RNA (997 nucleotides) under Equus caballus (horse). RNAcentral describes it as "lncRNA (ENSECAG00000031169.3)". Lineage: Eukaryota; Metazoa; Chordata; Mammalia; Perissodactyla; Equidae. The record is from RNAcentral.